UCCGUAGGUGGAUAAUUAAGUCAGGGGUGAAAGUCUGCAGCUCAACUGUAGAAUUGCCCUUGAUACUGGUUAUCUUGAGUUAUUAUGAAGUAGUUAGAAUAUGUAGUGUAGCGGUGAAAUGCAUAGAUAUUACAUAGAAUACCAAUUGCGAAGGCAGAUUACUAAUAAUCAACUGACACUGAUGGACGAAAGCGUGGGGAGCGAACAGGAUUAGAUACCCUGGUAGUCC
This 229-nucleotide ribosomal RNA is filed under the name uncultured bacterium. RNAcentral describes it as "partial 16S ribosomal RNA". It matches the Rfam family "Bacterial small subunit ribosomal RNA", at positions 568 to 796 of the family's 1533-position model. The record is from RNAcentral.